RNAcentral lists this ribosomal RNA (2877 nucleotides) under Xanthomonas arboricola pv. juglandis. Its description in RNAcentral is "bacterial LSU rRNA". It matches the Rfam family "Bacterial large subunit ribosomal RNA". Lineage: Bacteria; Pseudomonadati; Pseudomonadota; Gammaproteobacteria; Lysobacterales; Lysobacteraceae. The record is from RNAcentral.
UCAAGCGAAUAAGCGCACACGGUGGAUGCCUAGGCGGUCAGAGGCGAUGAAGGACGUGGUAGCCUGCGAAAAGUGUCGGGGAGCUGGCAACAAGCUUUGAUCCGGCAAUAUCCGAAUGGGGAAACCCACUGCUUCGGCAGUAUCCUGCAGUGAAUUCAUAGCUGCUGGAAGCGAACCCGGUGAACUGAAAUAUCUAAGUAACCGGAGGAAAAGAAAUCAACCGAGAUUCCCUAAGUAGUGACGAGCGAACGGGGAGCAGCCCUUAAGCUGGAAUGGCUUUAGAAAAACAAUCUGGAAAGAUUGGCCAUAGAAGGUGAUAGCCCUGUAUUUAAAAGGGCCACUCCAGUGAAGACGAGUAGGGCGGGGCACGUGAAACCCUGUCUGAAUAUGGGGGGACCAUCCUCCAAGGCUAAAUACUCCUGACCGACCGAUAGUGAACCAGUACCGUGAGGGAAAGGCGAAAAGAACCCCGGAGAGGGGAGUGAAAUAGAUCCUGAAACCGUGUGCGUACAAGCAGUAGGAGCUCGCAAGAGUGACUGCGUACCUUUUGUAUAAUGGGUCAGCGACUUACUGUUCGUGGCAAGCUUAACCGUAUAGGGGAGGCGAAGGGAAACCGAGUCUGAUAAGGGCGCAUAGUCGCGGGCAGUAGACCCGAAACCGGGUGAUCUAGUCAUGGCCAGGGUGAAGGUGCCGUAACAGGUACUGGAGGCCCGAACCCACGUCUGUUGCAAAAGACGGGGAUGAGCUGUGAUUAGGAGUGAAAAGCUAAUCGAACCCGGAGAUAGCUGGUUCUCCUCGAAAGCUAUUUAGGUAGCGCCUCGGACGAAUACUACUGGGGGUAGAGCACUGUUAUGGCUAGGGGGUCAUCGCGACUUACCAAACCAUUGCAAACUCCGAAUACCAGUACGUACUAUCCGGGAGACACACGGCGGGUGCUAACGUCCGUCGUGAAAAGGGAAACAACCCAGACCCACAGCUAAGGUCCCAAAUUCACUGCUAAGUGGAAAACGAUGUGGAAAGGCAUAGACAGCCAGGAGGUUGGCUUAGAAGCAGCCACCCUUUAAAGAAAGCGUAAUAGCUCACUGGUCGAGUCGGUCUGCGCGGAAGAUUUAACGGGGCUAAGCAGUGAACCGAAGCUUGGGGUGCAUAAAACUUGUUUUAUGCGCGGUAGAGGAGCGUUCCGUAAGCCUGCGAAGGUGGAUUGAGAAGUCUGCUGGAGGUAUCGGAAGUGCGAAUGCUGACAUGAGUAACGAUAAUGCGGGUGAAAAGCCCGCACGCCGAAAGCCCAAGGUUUCCUUGCGCAACGUUAAUCGACGCAGGGUUAGUCGGUCCCUAAGGCGAGGGCGAAAGCCGUAGUCGAUGGGAAGCAGGUUAAUAUUCCUGCACCUCGCGUGAGUGCGAUGGAGGGACGGAGAAGGUUAGGUGUACCGGGCGUUGGUUGUCCCGGGGAAAGGCGGUAGGUUUGGAUCUUUGGCAAAUCCGGGGUCCUUUAAGACCGAGCACCGAGACGAGCCUUUAUGGCGAAGUCACUGAUACCACGCUUCCAGGAAAAGCUCCUAAGCUUCAGCUCACGAAGACCGUACCGUAAACCGACACAGGUGGGUAGGAUGAGAAUUCUCAGGCGCUUGAGAGAACUCGGGUGAAGGAACUAGGCAACAUGGCACCGUAACUUCGGGAGAAGGUGCACCCUUUUUGGUGGCUCAUGCGAGCUAUAGCUGAAGAGGGUCGCAGAAACCAGGCCGCUGCGACUGUUUAUCAAAAACACAGCACUCUGCAAACACGAAAGUGGACGUAUAGGGUGUGACGCCUGCCCGGUGCUGGAAGGUUAAUUGAUGGGGUCAGCCGCAAGGCGAAGCUCUUGAUCGAAGCCCCAGUAAACGGCGGCCGUAACUAUAACGGUCCUAAGGUAGCGAAAUUCCUUGUCGGGUAAGUUCCGACCUGCACGAAUGGCGUAACGACAGCGGCGCUGUCUCCACCCGAGACUCAGUGAAAUUGAAAUCGCUGUGAAGAUGCAGCGUUCCCGUGGCAAGACGGAAAGACCCCGUGAACCUUUACUAUAGCUUUACACUGAACGUUGAGUUCGUCUGUGUAGGAUAGGUGGGAGGCUAUGAAACUGUGGCGCUAGCUGCAGUGGAGCCAUCCUUGAAAUACCACCCUGUCGUGCUUGACGUUCUAACCUAGAUCCGUUAUCCGGAUCAGGGACCGUGUAUGGUGGGUAGUUUGACUGGGGCGGUCUCCUCCUAAAGAGUAACGGAGGAGCACGAAGGUACGCUCAGCGCGGUCGGACAUCGCGCACUGUGUGCAAAGGCAUAAGCGUGCUUGACUGCAAGAUCGACGGAUCAAGCAGGUACGAAAGUAGGUCUUAGUGAUCCGGUGGUUCUGUAUGGAAGGGCCAUCGCUCAACGGAUAAAAGGUACUCCGGGGAUAACAGGCUGAUACCGCCCAAGAGUUCAUAUCGACGGCGGUGUUUGGCACCUCGAUGUCGGCUCAUCACAUCCUGGGGCUGUAGUCGGUCCCAAGGGUAUGGCUGUUCGCCAUUUAAAGUGGUACGCGAGCUGGGUUCAGAACGUCGUGAGACAGUUCGGUCCCUAUCUGCCAUGGGCGUUGGAAGUUUGAGAGGGGCUGCUCCUAGUACGAGAGGACCGGAGUGGACGAACCUCUGGUGUUCCGGUUGUCACGCCAGUGGCAUUGCCGGGUAGCUAUGUUCGGAAGCGAUAACCGCUGAAAGCAUCUAAGCGGGAAGCGCGCCUCAAGAUGAGACUUCCCGGGGCACAAGCCCCCUAAAGGAACCAUAUAGACUAUGUGGUUGAUAGGUCAGGUGUGUAAGUACAGCAAUGUAUUGAGCUAACUGAUACUAAUGAUCCGUGCGGCUUGACC